UUUGAUCCUGGCUCAGAACGAACGCUGGCGGCAUGCCUAACACAUGCAAGUCGAACGAUAAGCCACUUCGGUGGUGGACAGUGGCGCACGGGUGAGUAACACGUGGGGACCUGCCUGAUAGUAAGGGACAACAGUUUGAAAAGACUGCUAAUACCUUAUACGCCCUUUUGGGGAAAGAUUUAUCGCUAUCAGAUGGACCCGCGCUAGAUUAGAUAGUUGGUGAGGUAAUGGCUCACCAAGUCUACGAUCUAUAGCUGGUUUGAGAAGAUGAUCAGCCACAUUGGGACUGAGACACGGCCCAAACUCCUACGGGAGGCAGCAGUGGGGAAUAUUGUACAAUGGACGCAAGUCUGAUACAGCAAUGCCGCGUGAGUGAAGAAGGCCUUAGGGUUGUAAAACUCUUUCGCUAGGGAAGAUAAUGACGGUACCUAGUAAAGAAGUCCCGGCUAACUCCGUGCCAGCAGCCGCGGUAAUAAGGG
This 479-nucleotide ribosomal RNA is filed under the name uncultured bacterium. RNAcentral's name for it is "bacterial SSU rRNA". It matches the Rfam family "Bacterial small subunit ribosomal RNA", at positions 12 to 529 of the family's 1533-position model. The record is from RNAcentral.